AAACUAARUUUCAACAACGGAUCUCUUGGCUCUCGCAUCGAUGAAGAACGCAKCGAAAUGCGAUAAGUAAUGUGAAUUGCAGAAUUCAGUGAAUCAUCGAAUCUUUGAACRCACCUUGCGCUCCUUGGUAUUCCUUGGAGCAUGCCUGUUUGAGUAUC
Molecule: ribosomal RNA, 158 nt
Filed under: uncultured fungus
Lineage: Eukaryota; Fungi
Description: 5.8S ribosomal RNA
Rfam family: 5.8S ribosomal RNA
About the family: 5.8S ribosomal RNA (5.8S rRNA) is a component of the large subunit of the eukaryotic ribosome. It is transcribed by RNA polymerase I as part of the 45S precursor that also contains 18S and 28S rRNA.
Source: RNAcentral